UACGUAGGGGGCUAGCGUUGUCCGGAAUCAUUGGGCGUAAAGCGCGCGUAGGCGGCCCGGUAAGUCCGCUGUGAAAGUCAAAGGCUCAACCUUUGAAUGUCAGCGGAUACUGCCGGGCUAGAGUCCGGAAGAGGCGAGUGGAACUCCUGGUGUAGCGGUGGAAUGCGCAGAUAUCAGGAAGAACACCAAUGGCGAAGGCAGCUCUCUGGGACGGUACUGACGCUGAGACGCGAAAGCGUGGGGAGCGAACAGG
RNAcentral lists this ribosomal RNA (253 nucleotides) under uncultured bacterium. RNAcentral describes it as "partial 16S ribosomal RNA". It matches the Rfam family "Bacterial small subunit ribosomal RNA", at positions 524 to 776 of the family's 1533-position model. The record is from RNAcentral.